ACUCAAAUGAAUUGACGGGGGCCCGCACAAGCGGUGGAGCAUGUGGUUCAAUUCGAUGCAACGCGAAGAACCUUACCUGGGCUUGAACCGCCAGUGAAAACCCUGGAAACAGGGCUCACCGCAAGGUCACUGGUAGAGGUGCUGCAUGGCUGUCGUCAGCUCGUGUCGUGAGAUGUUGGGUUAAGUCCCGCAACGAGCGCAACCCUUGCCCUUAGUUGCCAGCGGGUUAAGCCGGGCACUCUAAGGGGACUGCCUACGAUAAGUGGGAGGAAGGUGGGGAUGACGUCAAGUCCUCAUGGCCUUUAUGUCCAGGGCUACACACGUGCUACAAUGGCCGGUACAAAGGGUCGCGAUACCGUGAGGUGGAGCCAAUCCCAAAAAGCCGGUCUCAGUUCAGAUUGAAGUCUGCAACUCGACUUCAUGAAGGCGGAAUCGCUAGUAAUCGCGGAUCAGCACGCCGCGGUGAAUACGUUCCCGGGCCUUGUACACACCGCCCGU
RNAcentral lists this ribosomal RNA (498 nucleotides) under uncultured bacterium. RNAcentral's name for it is "partial 16S ribosomal RNA". It matches the Rfam family "Bacterial small subunit ribosomal RNA", at positions 899 to 1397 of the family's 1533-position model. The record is from RNAcentral.